RNAcentral lists this long non-coding RNA (765 nucleotides) under Aquilegia coerulea. RNAcentral's name for it is "long non-coding RNA (ACOE_LNC001314)". Lineage: Eukaryota; Viridiplantae; Streptophyta; Magnoliopsida; Ranunculales; Ranunculaceae. The record is from RNAcentral.
AGAGAAAGAAUUAAAAACAAAAAAACGAUUUCUAUUAAUUUUGUUAUCAGAAUUCACAACAAAACAAGGCAUUAUAUUGUACUUGUAUACUUCUCUUACAUCAUAUCAUAUCAUAUCUGAAUCUGCGAGUGUGCAAGAAGUCUACUAUCUUUUGCAUCAUCUCCAUCGUCUCAUCUCUAUCAUAUCCUAGUUGAUCAGGCAACAGAAUGAACUCUUGAUUUACAGAGAAUCUCUCUUCAUUUGCUUCAUACAAUCUACCAUUACGCUCCCACACACCAAUUCUGUCUUCUUUUGGGAUAUCAAGACCUGUAACCACAACAUAAUACCCAAAUUAAUUAAUAACAACAGAUUAAAUAAGUUAAAAUUAGGGUUUAAUUACCUUCAUUAAUCGCCAUCAACAGGCGUCCUCCACACCAAUUCUUGAUUGGGCAUUUUCUUCUUCUUCGCCACGUCUAAUAAUAAUAAUAAUAAACAUUAAAAUGGUGAUUAUGAAAUUCAAAUUAGAUGGUGUAGAGAUUUAUAAAUCAUUACCUCCAUGUUGUUCUUUACCUGACGAUCUUUUCUUCUUCUCUCUUCUUGGCUUUGGCUUCUUCUCUUCUCAAGUAGCUUUUUCUCUCCUUUGGGAGCCAUUUCAAGAAAUUGAAAUAAAAAUUCAAAUCUAGAUUUUGAUGGUAGAGGGAAGGAGGGAUUUGGAUUUCGUUUUUAUAGAUAAACCAAGUAAUUUUGAUUGGUCGAGUAGUGUUAGUAUCGGAUCAGUGACUUGGC